RNAcentral lists this ribosomal RNA (253 nucleotides) under uncultured bacterium. Its description in RNAcentral is "partial 16S ribosomal RNA". It matches the Rfam family "Bacterial small subunit ribosomal RNA", at positions 524 to 776 of the family's 1533-position model. The record is from RNAcentral.
UACGAAGGGUGCGAGCGUUAUUCGGAAUGACUGGGUGUAAAGAGCGUGGAGGCGGUUUGAUAAGUCAGCUGUUAAAGUGCCCGGCUUAACCGGGAACAUGCGGUUGAAACUGUCAGGCUAGAGUACGGGAGAGAAAGGUAGAAUUCUCGGAGUAGCGGUAAAAUGCGUAGAUCUCGAGAGGAAUACCGGUUGCGAAGGCGGCCUUUUGGCCCGUAACUGACGCUUGAGCGCGAAAGCGUGGGGAGCAAACAGG